CAAGUCGAGCGGACCUUCAGGAGCUUGCUCCUAAAGGUUAGCGGCGGACGGGUGAGUAACACGUGGGCAACCUGCCCUAUAGUUGGGGAUAACUCCGGGAAACCGGAGCUAAUACCGAAUGAUACAAUUUAACUCCUGUUAGAUUGUUGAAAGAUGGUUUACGCUAUCGCUAUAGGAUGGGCCCGCGGCGCAUUAGCUAGUUGGUGAGGUAACGGCUCACCAAGGCGACGAUGCGUAGCCGACCUGAGAGGGUGAUCGGCCACACUGGGACUGAGACACGGCCCAGACUCCUACGGGAGGCAGCAGUAGGGAAUCUUCCACAAUGGACGAAAGUCUGAUGGAGCAACGCCGCGUGAGUGAAGAAGGUUUUCGGAUCGUAAAACUCUGUUGUAAGGGAAGAACAAGUACAGUAGUAACUGGCUGUACCUUGACGGUACCUUAUUAGAAAGCCACGGCUAACUACGUGCCAGCAGCCGCGGUAAUACGUAGGUGGCAAGCGUUGUCCGGAUUUAUUGGGCGUAAAGCGCGCGCAGGCGGUCCUUUAAGUCUGAUGUGAAAGCCCACGGCUCAACCGUGGAGGGUCAUUGGAAACUGGAGGACUUGAGUGCAGAAGAGGAAAGUGGAAUUCCA
This 630-nucleotide ribosomal RNA is filed under the name Ureibacillus massiliensis. RNAcentral's name for it is "bacterial SSU rRNA". It matches the Rfam family "Bacterial small subunit ribosomal RNA", at positions 58 to 671 of the family's 1533-position model. The record is from RNAcentral. Lineage: Bacteria; Bacillati; Bacillota; Bacilli; Caryophanales; Caryophanaceae.